UACGUAGGGUGCAGGCGUUAAUCGGAAUUACUGGGCGUAAAGCGUGCGCAGGCGGUUUCUUAAGUCAGAUGUGAAAUCCCCGGGCUUAACCUGGGAACUGCAUUUGUGACUGGCAAGCUAGAGUAUGGCAGAGGGGGGUAGAAUUCCACGUGUAGCAGUGAAAUGCGUAGAGAUGUGGAGGAAUACCGAUGGCGAAGGCAGCCCCCUGGGCCAAUACUGACGCUCAUGCACGAAAGCGUGGGGAGCAAACAGG
This 253-nucleotide ribosomal RNA is filed under the name uncultured bacterium. Its description in RNAcentral is "partial 16S ribosomal RNA". It matches the Rfam family "Bacterial small subunit ribosomal RNA", at positions 524 to 776 of the family's 1533-position model. The record is from RNAcentral.